This 398-nucleotide long non-coding RNA is filed under the name Gallus gallus (chicken). Its description in RNAcentral is "lncRNA (ENSGALG00010004414.1)". The record is from RNAcentral. Lineage: Eukaryota; Metazoa; Chordata; Aves; Galliformes; Phasianidae.
GACAGCUUGAAAAAAGGGAUGUGAAAGCUUUCCUUCUUGUCUUCCUGGCCUUUCCCUCCAUCAUCUGACCCUCAUGAAUGCUAUCCAGCAAACAGUUUGCCUUUCUUGCACGGCUUCGGUGCAAUUUCCCAUGGACACAGGACUUAUGCAACCAGUGUGCUGCCUGGCCAUGCAGAUCUCCGACUCCCUCCCUCUCUGUCCACCCUCCUGCCUCCAGCAAUCCCUGAACACAUCUGAUCUCUGCCACCAGGAGCACAGGUCUCACAAACAGCCUACGGCUUUCAUGACUGCAAGCUGCUCCUCGGUGAGGAGAGGCAGCUCGUUGUGCCAGCCCAGGGUGAGCUUACACCUCAUUAGAAACCAGAGAAACCACAUGGGAGGUGAUCUCACAAAUGCUC